CAAUAGCGUAUAUUAAAGUUGUUGCAGUUAAAGAGCUCGUAGUUGGAUUUGUGGCGUACGGUGGGUUCCGGGCACUUGUUGUCUGAGUAACUUGCUGUUGCCAUCCUUGGGUGGAACCUGUGUGGCAUUAGGUUGUCGUGCAGGGGAUGCCCAUCAUUUACUGUGAAAAAAUUAGAGUGUUCAAAGCAGGCUUAUGCCGUUGAAUAUAUUAGCAUGGAAUAAUGAGAUAGGACUUUUUUGCUAUUUUGUUGGUUUGCGCAAAGAGGUAAUGAUUAAUAGGGACAGUUGGGGGUAUUCGUAUUCCAUUGUCAGAGGUGAAAUUCUUGGAUUUUUGGAAGACGAACUACUGCGAAAGCAUUUACCAAGGAUGUUUUCAUUAA
This 380-nucleotide ribosomal RNA is filed under the name uncultured eukaryote. RNAcentral's name for it is "partial 18S ribosomal RNA". It matches the Rfam family "Eukaryotic small subunit ribosomal RNA", at positions 592 to 976 of the family's 1831-position model. The record is from RNAcentral.